RNAcentral lists this transfer RNA (66 nucleotides) under uncultured Parvibaculum sp. It matches the Rfam family "tRNA". From Rfam's summary of the family: Transfer RNA (tRNA) molecules are approximately 80 nucleotides in length. Their secondary structure includes four short double-helical elements and three loops (D, anti-codon, and T loops). The record is from RNAcentral. RNAcentral also lists the same sequence under 1 other name. Lineage: Bacteria; Pseudomonadati; Pseudomonadota; Alphaproteobacteria; Hyphomicrobiales; Parvibaculaceae.
AGUGUAGCUCAACUGGUAGAGCACCGGUCUCCAAAACCGGGGGUUGGGGGUUCGAGCCCCUCCACU